This 253-nucleotide ribosomal RNA is filed under the name uncultured bacterium. RNAcentral describes it as "partial 16S ribosomal RNA". It matches the Rfam family "Bacterial small subunit ribosomal RNA", at positions 524 to 776 of the family's 1533-position model. The record is from RNAcentral.
GACAGAGGUGCCAAGCGUUAUCCGGAUUCACUGGGGUUAAAGGGUGCGUAGGCGGGUUGGUAAGUCCGUGGUGAAAUCCCCAAGCUUAACUUGGGAACUGCCGUGGAUACUAUCAAUCUUGAAUAUCGUGGAGGUAAGCGGAAUAUGUCAUGUAGCGGUGAAAUGCUUAGAUAUGACAUAGAACACCAAUUGCGUAGGCAGCUUACUACACGAUCAUUGACGCUGAGGCACGAAAGCGUGGGGAGCAAACAGG